This 414-nucleotide long non-coding RNA is filed under the name Olea europaea (common olive). RNAcentral describes it as "long non-coding RNA (OEUR_LNC000262)". Lineage: Eukaryota; Viridiplantae; Streptophyta; Magnoliopsida; Lamiales; Oleaceae. The record is from RNAcentral.
CUGUUUGGAAGGUUGCAUGGUUUGGCUCAAAUCCUUUCAUCACACCACUCCAUUCUCUAUAUAAAGGACCCCUUGGAUGACUUUGAGAGUACACCAUUUUGCAUAUUGAGCAUUCAUUCUUCUCAAAAUUGCAAUUCUCUUCUUCUUCAUCUCUUUUUAUAUAUUAUAUUCCUUGUAGAGGGGAAACUCCGUCGAAAGUUCGCCGGAUUUGUGGUUUGAAGUGCUACUACCACAAAUCGAAUCCGUUGUAUCUUGGGAGACAAUUGCCGCCAAUCGUGAGCACCGUAGCGGGGCAAUAUUGUCUUAAGGAGAGAGUGAAUACACUUGCCUCGGAUUUAAUCUUCGUUUUCUAUUCCUUCUUAUUUUAAUUUUCUUAUUUGAUUUUAUGGUUUUGUACUACAUUUCCAUUUCAUA